GAUGAACGCUGGCGGCGUGCCUAAUACAUGCAAGUCGAGCGAACGGACGAGAAGCUUGCUUUUCUGAUGUUAGCGGCGGACGGGUGAGUAACACGUGGAUAACCUACCUAUAAGACUGGGAUAACUUCGGGAAACCGGAGCUAAUACCGGAUAAUAUUUCGAACCGCAUGGUUCAAAAGUGAAAGACGGUCUUGCUGUCACUUAUAGAUGGAUCCGCGCUGCAUUAGCUAGUUGGUAAGGUAACGGCUUACCAAGGCAACGAUGCAUAGCCGACCUGAGAGGGUGAUCGGCCACACUGGAACUGAGACACGGUCCAGACUCCUACGGGAGGCAGCAGUAGGGAAUCUUCCGCAAUGGGCGAAAGCCUGACGGAGCAACGCCGCGUGAGUGAUGAAGGUCUUCGGAUCGUAAAACUCUGUUAUUAGGGAAGAACACAUGUGUAAGUAACUGUGCACAUCUUGACGGUACCUAAUCAGAAAGCCACGGCUAACUACGUG
RNAcentral lists this ribosomal RNA (497 nucleotides) under uncultured bacterium. RNAcentral describes it as "partial 16S ribosomal RNA". It matches the Rfam family "Bacterial small subunit ribosomal RNA", at positions 28 to 507 of the family's 1533-position model. The record is from RNAcentral.